GACGAACGCUGGCGGCGUGCUUAACACAUGCAAGUCGAACGGAAAGGCCCAGCUUGCUGGGUACUCGAGUGGCGAACGGGUGAGUAACACGUGGGUGAUCUGCCCUGCACUCUGGGAUAAGCCUGGGAAACUGGGUCUAAUACCGGAUAUGAUCAACUGUCGCAUGGUGGUUGGUGGAAAGCUUUUGCGGUGUGGGAUGGGCCCGCGGCCUAUCAGCUUGUUGGUGGGGUAAUGGCCUACCAAGGUGACGACGGGUAGCCGACCUGAGAGGGGGAUGGGCCCACCUGGGAUUGGGAGACGGCCCAGACUCCGCCGGGAGGCAGCAGUGGGGAAGAUUGCACAAUGGGCGCAAGCCUGAUGCAGCGACGCCGCGUGAGGGAUGACGGCCUUCGGGUUGUAAACCUCUUUCACCAGGGACGAAGCGUGAGUGACGGUACCUGGAGAAGAAGCACCGGCCAACUACGUGCCAGCCGCCGCCGUAA
This 482-nucleotide ribosomal RNA is filed under the name uncultured bacterium. RNAcentral describes it as "partial 16S ribosomal RNA". It matches the Rfam family "Bacterial small subunit ribosomal RNA", at positions 28 to 523 of the family's 1533-position model. The record is from RNAcentral.